This 70-nucleotide small RNA is filed under the name Methyloprofundus sedimenti. RNAcentral's name for it is "int-alpA RNA". It matches the Rfam family "int-alpA RNA". Rfam says of the family: Acidobacteria (1 example), Planctomycetes (1 example), Proteobacteria. The record is from Rfam by way of RNAcentral. Lineage: Bacteria; Pseudomonadati; Pseudomonadota; Gammaproteobacteria; Methylococcales; Methylococcaceae.
UUUCAGGCUACCUUUAGCGGGGGAACCGGCGGACUCAUUACCCGCCUUGCCUGAAACCUAUCAGUAAUGA